Molecule: small RNA, 56 nt
Filed under: Arabidopsis thaliana (thale cress)
Lineage: Eukaryota; Viridiplantae; Streptophyta; Magnoliopsida; Brassicales; Brassicaceae
Description: ATSL036590
Source: RNAcentral
GAAAUAAGUAUAAGUGUUGUCUAAAAACUUCUAAUCCAUCUCUAACUCUUCUAAUU